This is a non-coding RNA of Pyramidobacter piscolens W5455, 142 nucleotides long. The record is from Rfam. NCBI's taxonomy places the organism in Bacteria, Thermotogati, Synergistota, Synergistia, Synergistales, Dethiosulfovibrionaceae.
AUUCGAGGAAAUUUUUAUUGUAAAAUAAGAAGUCAUGAUAUGCAGUUUCAGCCCGGGGAAUUUGGUGAAAGACCAAAGCGGCCCCGCCACUGUGAGCGUUUUGCGCGCGAGUCAGGAUACCGGCCUGAAACGGGGGAACAGA